Molecule: RNA transcript, 3477 nt
Organism: Chanos chanos (milkfish)
Lineage: Eukaryota; Metazoa; Chordata; Actinopteri; Gonorynchiformes; Chanidae
Gene: rnf214
Gene name: ring finger protein 214
Exons: 18
Source: RefSeq, a predicted model, not a curated record
GCAAGAGGGGGUGGGAUUUUAUGUUAUUUUAUUUAGAAAAUAAUUACACUUUGAAUGAAAACGAUUCAGCAUUUCACGUUGGAGUGAUAUGCGCUCUACAGAAAAAGCCUAAUUUAAUCAUAAGAAGGCUUCAAGCCUCAUACCACAGUUGCGUGCUAACCGUCAGAAUGGACAGUAACAUAAACUCUCAGUGGAGCGUGACACUGGAGGAGGGAACAGAGGAUGAGAAUUUGGUUGGAGAGACGUGUCAAUCCGGAGAUGUGAUAUACACAUAUGAAUGGCCAGUCAUGUAUGACCCGUGGAAUAUGGAGAGCACCCUUCCAGCCGGUCUGUUAGAUAAGGCCGAUGACGAAUUAGUCGAAAGCGAAGAUUAUAGCACUGCAAAAACCAUCGUAGAAACUCAGGAACGGGACGUGCAGACGGAUGCCUGCACGGAAGAGAGGGGUGUCAACACCUCAGAAGACUGGGAGUCAAAUAUGCGUUCAGUAGAGGAAUACAGUGCAGUGUUGGCUCUGCAGUAUGAGGCUCUGGUGAAGCAGCAGCAGGCAGAGGAAGCAGAGCAUGGCUUCCACGUCGACAACCUGGAGAAGAAAAAAGAGGAGAAGAAGCACCAACACCAGGGCCUCAUUGAUAAGAUUGAGUCCUUACAUGUGAAGCUGGAGCUCAACAGCAGCAAAACCACCAGAAAGAAUUUCAUGGCUAAACGACAAGAACUGACAGCUGAGAAAGAGCGAAUGGAAGAGGAGAGGAAACGGCUUGCACAGGAGUUGGAAGAUUCAGACAGAAAACUGAAAAUGCUGACUGAGGAGCAGAAUCAAGACAAGCUGACCUGGGAACAAGAGAUUGCUAGUCUCCGUAAUGAAAUGGAGAGAUUGCACAGACAGGCGGAUGAAGCCAAUCAUACUGCAUUAAAAGAUGAGAUUGGCGCUCUAGAGACCGAGAGAGACGUCUGUGUUUCUCUUGUAGAGGACUGGAUCGAAGACGCAGAGCGAUACCUCGAUACACUCAGGCUGGACCCAUCCCAGCAGCACUUGCAGCAGCAGUUGGAGUGGGAGAAGAACAUAACAGUGAUACGGAGCAGUCUGAGUGUUUUACAGAAUAAGUUUAAUGAAAACCUUCAGUUGCUUCACAAAGGACAUCCACUGGACAGUCUGCCCUCAGUUUCCCCGCCUUCCCUACCUCAUGUGCCAACAUUGGAGUUACUGAUGAGUCCAAUUGUGCAGUCUGUGCCUAACCCCUUCCACCAGGACCACACCCUGCCCCCUGCAUCUGUGGCCACGCCCCUUCACCAGCUGCAGCAAAUCACAGGGGACUCUCACAGGGUCACCCCGCCUCUCACUGUACCAUCUCCCCAGAACCUACCCACAUCAGCUGCCCACCCUGGCCUCCUGACCCACGGCAUUCUCAUGUCAAAUGCUCACAUACCUGUAUUAAUGCCCAGCAGUGCCAUUGCAACUGCUCACACACCUGUUGCCCCUCAUAUUGGCAUGGUACCCACUCAGUCAUCUACAGGAGCUCCUCACUUUGCCAAAGCUGUUCCAAAUCAGCCAGUCACCCCAGCUUCCCACUCUGGCUCUCCCAGUCCGAACACACACGUUCCAGCCACACACAUACCUGUCCAAGGCUCUCACUCUAAUCUACCAGCUACGUUCGUGGGCACUGCAGCCAGCCACCCAUCCAAUCAGCCAGCCCAGGGUCUGGUCCGUGCCCCCCACCCCGCUGUUCACCAGACCAUCCCACCCAACGUCUCCCCUCAGCCGCUACCCAGUAACCCCCCUCCUGCUGGCAAACUGGACAAGCUUCUAGAGAGACUCGGAGCCAGUUUCCCACAAUGCACCAGGGAUCAGCUGACAGAGAUUCUGCAGCAGAUAAAAGCAGCACGUGGCACCAUGGCAGGAAUGUCUGUAGAUGACCUCACGCAACAGGUCGCCCUGAGACUGGCACAAAACGAAAGAGCACCUCUUGGACCUAUUGGGCCGCCUUCUGGAGCCAGGGCCUUUCCCAGUGGUGCAGUCCCAGUGCAGCAACCCGCAGGCCAGUUCCAGAGAGCCGUACGCCCCCAUCUCAGGCCUCCUGUGGCCCAGGUCUUCCACACACGGCCCCCCCAGGCUACAGCUCCCAGUAACUACAAACUGUGCUUAAUGUGCCAAAACUACGUGGAACCAGGGAGCCAGUACAACACGAACUGCUCUCACACGCUGCACAAAGAUUGUAUCAGCGUUUGGCUUCAGUCCAGUAAGAAGAAUUCCUGUCCUUUCUGUCCGUCAAAGUAAAGCCCCAACCUACCAAAAGAAACCUGCUUGCUCUUACUGCAGGUAUAUGAGGGUACACAAGAGAUCAGAGAGACAGUUACUUCAAAAGGACAACGGAGCAUGUUAACUGAAAAGAGAUGAAUUUGGAUUGGGCUUUUUGUUUACUAUCAGUCACUGAAUGUCUAACUCUACAGUUUGUCGAGGUGUAACAGUUCACACUAUUCACGGUUUGGUUUGUAUCUUGGUUUCUGGGCCAUAGUUUGGUUUGUCUGAUGGUUUUAAAUUGAACCAACUCAGAACUAAACCUCUUAGUUUUUUCUUUCCUUUUAAACAUAUACGCAUUUAACUCGAAAUGAACAAACUUCAUGCAAACAACAAAAAUGCUCUUCAAAAAGAAAAAAAAAGAAGAUUUAUCUUCAGCACCAGUCUUUUAGAAAAUGUAUGUAAGAAAUUAAACUUGAGCUACAGUAAUUUUCAGUCUUUUCUUCAUGACAGUGAUUUGAAGAAACUUAAACAUCAGUAUCUUUUUCGGUUCUUUAUCAAGCAAAUGACAGCAAGAUUUCCAUGGUUGUAAGUGACUUCAAAACCAAAGUACUGCCAUAUCGUGGAUUUGAAUGAGGUAGGAGGGUCCUCAAUUUCGGGCAUACCAUUUCAGCAGAGAAAGAAGCAUGUGACGACUGCAAAAUAAUGAUCAGAUUAAUGUUAUUCUUAAUGAUCAAAAGUGCAAACAGUGUGGAAUGUUCUCCUACACUAGUUAUAUGUAAGGCUGUCUCAUCCCAUUUGGAAAAAAAUAACCUCACUUGCAAGAGCUGAAGGGGGGGGGGGGGGGGGCGGAGAAUGAACUGAACUCAGGACAAUGGAAUUGCGAUUUUUGGUUUCGGUACAAAACCGUUACAUCCUUAACAGUCAGGGAUAUGGCAAAGGAUAUUUUAAGAUGAGGGUUAAUCUGAUGACAAUUGCCUUUUGUGAGGAGGUUUUUUUUUUCAUUUCCAGCUUUUGUCUUUCUGUCAGCUGACUCGGUACUAAGGCCUUCUGUGCUGGUUACUUUUCUCUGUUCUAUCAGGCGCACUGUGAAUUCAGCUUUUAAGUUUUCAGACAUCAAGAUAUAGCAUACAAUAUAUUCCAUAUGAAGAUAUAUAAAUAAUUUUGUGCAUGUGUGUGUAUUCCACUAGGAUGUUCAAACUCAUUUUUGGCUAUCAUAAAACAAAGAGCAUACUCUUGUACU